Molecule: ribosomal RNA, 497 nt
Filed under: uncultured bacterium
Lineage: Bacteria
Description: partial 16S ribosomal RNA
Rfam family: Bacterial small subunit ribosomal RNA
Source: RNAcentral
GACGAACGCUGGCGGCGUGCCUAAUGCAUGCAAGUAGAACGCUGAAGAGAGGAGCUUACUCUUCUUGGAUGAGUUGCGAACGGGUGAGUAACGCGUAGGUAACCUGCCUUGUAGCGGGGGAUAACUAUUGGAAACGAUAGCUAAUACCGCAUAACAAUGGAUGACACAUGUCAUUUAUUUGAAAGGGGCAAUUGCUCCACUACAAGAUGGACCUGCGUUGUAUUAGCUAGUAGGUGAGGUAAUGGCUCACCUAGGCGACGAUACAUAGCCGACCUGAGAGGGUGAUCGGCCACACUGGGACUGAGACACGGCCCAGACUCCUACGGGAGGCAGCAGUAGGGAAUCUUCGGCAAUGGGGGCAACCCUGACCGAGCAACGCCGCGUGAGUGAAGAAGGUUUUCGGAUCGUAAAGCUCUGUUGUAAGUCAAGAACGGGUGUGAGAGUGGAAAGUUCACACUGUGACGGUAGCUUACCAGAAAGGGACGGCUAACUACGUG